RNAcentral lists this ribosomal RNA (472 nucleotides) under uncultured bacterium. RNAcentral's name for it is "bacterial SSU rRNA". It matches the Rfam family "Bacterial small subunit ribosomal RNA", at positions 8 to 465 of the family's 1533-position model. The record is from RNAcentral.
AGAGUUUGAUCCUGGCUCAGAACGAACGCUGGCGGCGUGCUUAACACAUGCAAGUCGAACGGAAUUAGGGGCUUGCUCCUAAUUUAGUGGCGCACGGGUGAGUAACGCGUGGAUAACCUACCCUGGUAUCUGGGAUAACAUCUCGAAAGGGGUGCUAAUACCGGAUAAGCCCACGGGAACUUUGGUUCUUGCGGGAAAAGGUGGCCUCUAUUUAUAAGCUACUGUAUCAGGAUGGGUCCGCGUACCAUUAGCUAGUUGGUAGUGUAAUGGACUACCAAGGCUACGAUGGUUAGCUGGUCUGAGAGGAUGAUCAGCCACACUGGAACUGAGACACGGUCCAGACUCCUACGGGAGGCAGCAGUGGGGAAUUUUGCGCAAUGGGGGAAACCCUGACGCAGCAACGCCGCGUGAGUGAUGAAGGCCUUCGGGUCGUAAAGCUCUGUCAGAGGGGAAGAAGUGUAUGGGUGCUAAU